RNAcentral lists this ribosomal RNA (513 nucleotides) under Epeorus assimilis. Its description in RNAcentral is "partial 16S ribosomal RNA". It matches the Rfam family "Bacterial large subunit ribosomal RNA", at positions 1831 to 2605 of the family's 2925-position model. Lineage: Eukaryota; Metazoa; Arthropoda; Insecta; Ephemeroptera; Heptageniidae. The record is from RNAcentral.
CGCCUUUUGAAUAGAUAGAAGGUCUAGCCUGCCCACUGAAAAAUUAAAGGGCCGCGGUAUAUUGACCGUGCAAAGGUAGCAUAAUCAUUAGUCUUCUAAUUAAAGGCUGGUAUGAAUGGUUGGACGAGGUAUUAGCUGUCUCCCUAAAACUGUUUUGAAUUUAACUUUUUAGUCAAAAGGCUGAAAUGUAGUUGGAGGACGAGAAGACCCUAUAGAUCUUUAUAUUUAAAUUGUUUAAUCAUUUUAGUAGGAUUUGGAUUUAAUGAGGUUAAUAUUUUGUUGGGGUGACAGGAAGAUAAUAAAAACUAUUUUUAUAAGAGUAACAUUGAUAUAUGAAUAAAUGAUCCGUGAUAGCGAUUAAAAGACUAAGUUACCUUAGGGAUAACAGCGUAAUCUUUUUUGAGAGUUCUAAUCGACAAAAAGGGUUGCGACCUCGAUGUUGGACUAAGGGUUAUUCUUGGGUGUAGAAGUUCAAGGUUUAGGUCUGUUCGACCUUUGAAUCCUUACGUGAUC